AAUUUAAAUUUUGAUGGGUAAUUGUAAGAUUGGGUUAAUUUCUUGUUCUGGGUCCUAUUUUGUUUUGUUAAGACAUGGCUAUUUUUCAUUCCAUGUGUUGUUUAAUUGAAUGUGUAGAUUACUGAGAUUAGAUAGGUGAUUUAGAUCAUUGAAUUUAAAAAUUGGAUUAAUAUAGGUUUUUGAGCUGGUUGGUGUGCUAGCUAGCUAUUGGGCUUGAAUGUUUAAUAUUAUAAAUUUGCCAAUUGGUGUAUGCCAAGAUAAUCGUGCUAUUGCAAAC
Molecule: long non-coding RNA, 277 nt
Filed under: Panax ginseng (ginseng)
Lineage: Eukaryota; Viridiplantae; Streptophyta; Magnoliopsida; Apiales; Araliaceae
Description: long non-coding RNA (PGIN_LNC013072)
Source: RNAcentral